This 621-nucleotide ribosomal RNA is filed under the name Naganishia uzbekistanensis. RNAcentral describes it as "eukaryotic LSU rRNA". The stretch from base 186 to 339 matches the Rfam family "5.8S ribosomal RNA". The record is from RNAcentral. Lineage: Eukaryota; Fungi; Basidiomycota; Tremellomycetes; Filobasidiales; Filobasidiaceae.
UCCGUAGGUGAACCUGCGGAAGGAUCAUUAAUGAUUGAACGUCUGUCGAGCUUGCUCACAGGCACAUCAUAUCCAUAACACCUGUGCACUUGUCGGAUGGCUUAGUGAAGACCGCAAGGUUGGAACUAUCCGUCUACUUUACAUAACAAUUCUGUAACAAAUGUAGUCUUAUUAUAACAUAAUAAAACUUUCAACAACGGAUCUCUUGGCUCUCGCAUCGAUGAAGAACGCAGCGAAAUGCGAUAAGUAAUGUGAAUUGCAGAAUUCAGUGAAUCAUCGAAUCUUUGAACGCACCUUGCGCUCCUUGGUAUUCCGAGGAGCAUGCCUGUUUGAGUGUCAUGAAAACCCUCAACCUUAGAUUGGUUAAAACCUUUCUUUGGCUUGGAUUUGGACGUUUGCCGAUGAUAAGUCGGCUCGUCUUAAAAGUAAUAGCUGGAUCUGUCUCGCGACAUGGUUUGACUUGGCGUAAUAAGUAUUUCGCUAAGGACAUCUUCGGAUGGCCGCGUUGCAAGACUAAAGACCGCUUUCUAAUCCAUUGAUCUUCGGAUUAAUAUUCUUGACAUCUGGCCUCAAAUCAGGUAGGACUACCCGCUGAACUUAAGCAUAUCAAUAAGCGGAGGA